This 45-nucleotide non-coding RNA is filed under the name Schistosoma mansoni. Lineage: Eukaryota; Metazoa; Platyhelminthes; Trematoda; Strigeidida; Schistosomatidae. The record is from RNAcentral.
AUCCAGUUGACGAGCCCCAAAUAGGACGAAACGCGCAUCCUGGAU